CUACGGGUGGCUGCGGUGAGGAAUAUUGCACAAUGGGGGGAACCCUGAUGCAGCAACGCCGCGUGGAGGAUGACGCAUUUCGGUGUGUAAACUCCUUUUAUAUGUCAAGAAAAUGACGGUAGCAUAUGAAUAAGCACCGGCUAACUCCGUGCCAGCAGCCGCGGUAAUACGGAGGGUGCAAGCGUUACUCGGAAUCACUGGGCGUAAAGGGCGCGUAGGCGGGUUGGAAAGUCAGGUGUGAAAUCCUACAGCUUAACUGUAGAACUGCACUUGAAACUUCUAAUCUAGAGUAUGGGAGGGGGAGAUGGAAUUAGUGGUGUAGGGGUAACAUCCGUAGAUAUCACUAGGAAUACCUAAAGCGAAGGCGAUCUCCUGGAACAUUACUGACGCUAAGGCGUGAAAGCGUGGGGAGCAAACAGGAUUAGAUACCCCCGUAGUC
Molecule: ribosomal RNA, 439 nt
Filed under: uncultured bacterium
Lineage: Bacteria
Description: partial 16S ribosomal RNA
Rfam family: Bacterial small subunit ribosomal RNA
Source: RNAcentral